UUCAAAAUAACAUCACUGAAGAUUUUACUGAAUUUAGAAAGAGUGAAUAACUGGAAGUACCUUCCUGGUACGCUUCGGCAGCAAAGCAGGCUCGUUUGUUACCGCCAGGGGUACAUUGGCUCGACUGCGUACCAAAAUGGUAUGAUUAGGUGAGAACUGGGUAAAAUAUCUAUUAGAUCACGGAAGAAAGAACACGUGGAUGAUUGUCGCGAGCGCUGGCGCUGGCAAGAAGAGCGAGAGUUUUCGACAGGCUGUAUUUUAGUACAAAGCAAAAAGGAAAAAAGGUUUAAGAACUUCAGUGCCUUCAGAGGAUGAAGUCCAACAUCAUAUCACAAUCUGCCGCUUCAAUUAAACAAUGGUCGAAAGUAAGAGUGAGGAUUCUGACACAACUGCAAAGAGCGCUGAGGAAAAGGAAAGUGGAAAGGGAGCAUGCCUGUAUGUGUCCUCAGCAAAAAGUUCAGAUUCAACAACAAUCAUCAUCAAGAAGCUGGAGACCAUUAGGAUUUACUGUUAACAUUAGGAAUCAAGCAUUGCAUCAGCUUCACAGUUAUGUGCCUCCAUGAGGAUGGCUCUUAUUGUGUUGGAAGACUGUGAAGAAAACAAUUUCAUUGAGACUAUCAAAUCACCGAAGGAUGAUGAUACAACAAGCACACGCCCAUUGUAUUUAUUUCUUCUGGACUCCUGUCAGGUAAAGCUGUUCCUUUCUCCCUGGUUACUUAUAUCACUAUGGCAACUGGCCAAAGUAGCCCUCUCUUAUUCCUUAGUAAGGGUUAAAACCAGUUAUAUGAGUUCUUUGAGACAGAGCUGACCUCCUUGAUCAGUAGCGAAAGAAGAGGCUCUGUAGAAAUGAAAAGGAAAGUGGAAAGGGAGCAUGCCUGUAUGUGUCCUCAGCAAAAAGUUCAGAUUCAACAACAAUCAUCAUCAAGAAGCUGGAGACUAUCAGGAUUUACUGUUAAGAAGGAAUCAAGCAUUGCAUUAGCUUCACAGUUAUGCGCCUCUGUGAGGAUGGCUCUUAUUGUGUUGGAAGACUGUGAAGAAAACAAUUUCAUUGUUACUAUCAAAUACUUGAUGCAAGAGCAGUACAUUGAUGAGCUUGUGUUCAAACGCUUGACACUGGAGUGUGAUCACCUGAUAACACAACCAUGACAAUUUGCAGUUACUCCCAAAUCAAAGAGGCCUGGCAUUGUAAGAAAAAGGAAAUUUGAUACAGCUUUUCUAUCAUCAAGGAACAAUGAUUGUGAAGGAUUUUUCAUCACUGGAUAAAGUCACCAUUUCCUUGGAGGACAUGGAGAAGAAGGUCAUGGAAGUUCUUACAAAUGAAAGAAAAGCGUUUGGAAUUAGGGACAAGCAGUCAUGAAAGCUUUUAUAAGCAGAAUUUUCCAGAGUAAAUGUCCACUGUUAUUCGCUUGCUCUAAAAAAGAGUCUUAAUAUGUAAAGUAAUCAAUAAUUAUCAAUUUUACUACUAACAGUGCAUGUAACAAUACCAAACAGAAAAUCUCAUGUUGGAACUAGUGGUAACAUAGAGAAUUGUAAUGAAAUGUUUUGUAAACAAAAUAGUGAGGAAAUCAA
Non-coding RNA from Pocillopora verrucosa, 1569 nucleotides. NCBI's taxonomy places the organism in Eukaryota, Metazoa, Cnidaria, Anthozoa, Scleractinia, Pocilloporidae. The record is from RefSeq and is a predicted model, not a curated record.